This 85-nucleotide transfer RNA is filed under the name Felis catus (domestic cat). It matches the Rfam family "tRNA". Rfam says of the family: Transfer RNA (tRNA) molecules are approximately 80 nucleotides in length. Their secondary structure includes four short double-helical elements and three loops (D, anti-codon, and T loops). Lineage: Eukaryota; Metazoa; Chordata; Mammalia; Carnivora; Felidae. The record is from Rfam by way of RNAcentral.
GCCUGGGUGGCUCAGCUGGUUAAGUGUCCGACUUGGGCUCAGGACAUGAUCUCAUGGUUUGUGGGUUUGAGCCCCACCUCCGGCU